GGCGAGAUGGCCGAGUGGUCUAAGGCGCUGGUUUUAGGCACCAGUCUCUCCGGAGGCGUGGGUUCGAACCCCACUCUCGUCA
Molecule: transfer RNA, 82 nt
Filed under: Enterobius vermicularis (human pinworm)
Lineage: Eukaryota; Metazoa; Nematoda; Chromadorea; Rhabditida; Oxyuridae
Rfam family: tRNA
About the family: Transfer RNA (tRNA) molecules are approximately 80 nucleotides in length.
Source: Rfam by way of RNAcentral